This 369-nucleotide long non-coding RNA is filed under the name Felis catus (domestic cat). RNAcentral describes it as "lncRNA (ENSFCAG00000045111.2)". Lineage: Eukaryota; Metazoa; Chordata; Mammalia; Carnivora; Felidae. The record is from RNAcentral.
AUGCUCCUUCAAGUAGGGCAGAAGGACUUUCUGUUUCUUUUUCUUCUCUUUACAGGAGGACUUUUUUAUCACAUGGAUAAAAGAGGAAACAUCAAAAGUCUCCAGGUCACUUUGCCAUUGUACAAAUCUCAAAAUUUCACAAGCCUACCCUCGUCAUUUAUGGAAAAUUUGGGAGAAAAGGAAAGUGGGACGUGUUGGAUGAUUUCCCAGCUUCUAUUUGGAGAGGAAGUCGACAGGUUUUCCACCAUCCAGCCCCCGCCAAUCUGCGCUAGCUGAGAAACACCUGCAGCCAAAGGCUAUGCCCAUUCUCCCUUGUGCAUUUGCAGCUAUCAAAAUAAAUGAGCCAUCUUGGAUGGGAAAAUUAUAUCU